GUAGGUGGCAAGCGUUGUCCGAAUUUACUGGGUGUAAAGGGCGUGUAGGCGGAGAUGCAAGUCAGAUGUGAAAUCCUCGGGCUUAACCCGGGAACUGCAUUUGAAACUGUAUCCCUUGAGUAUCGGAGAGGCAGGCGGAAUUCCUAGUGUAGCGGUGAAAUGCGUAGAUAUUAGGAGGAACACCAGUGGCGAAGGCGGUCUGCUGGACGACAACUGACGGUGAGGCGCGAAAGCGUGGGGAGCGAACAGGAUUAGAUACCCUGGUAGUCCACGCUGUAAACGAUGGAUACUAGGUGUACGGGGACUGACCCCCUGCGUGCCGCAGUUAACACAAUAAGUAUCCCACCUGGGGAGUACGAUCGCAAGGUUGAAACUCAA
This 378-nucleotide ribosomal RNA is filed under the name uncultured bacterium. RNAcentral describes it as "bacterial SSU rRNA". It matches the Rfam family "Bacterial small subunit ribosomal RNA", at positions 527 to 904 of the family's 1533-position model. The record is from RNAcentral.